This 440-nucleotide ribosomal RNA is filed under the name uncultured bacterium. RNAcentral's name for it is "partial 16S ribosomal RNA". It matches the Rfam family "Bacterial small subunit ribosomal RNA", at positions 338 to 795 of the family's 1533-position model. The record is from RNAcentral.
CCUACGGGAGGCAGCAGUGGGGAAUAUUGCACACUGGGGGAAACCCUGAUGCAGCGACGCCGCGUGAGUGAAGAAGUAAUUCGUUAUGUAAAGCUCUAUCAGCAGGGAAGCAAAUGCCGGUACCUGUGCAAGAAGCCCCGGUUCACUACGGGCCAGCCGCCGCUGGAAUACGUAGGGGGCCAGCGGUAUUCGGGUUUACUGGGGGUAAAGGGGGCUUAGACGGGUGUGCAAGUUCGGAGGGAAAGGCGUGGGGUCAACCCCCGGACUGCUGUGGAAACUGUACGGCUGGAGUGCAGGAGAGGUAAGCGGAAUGCCUGGUGUAGCGGUGAAAUGCGUAGAUAUUAGGAGGAACACCAGUGGCGAAGGCGGCUUACUGGACUGUAACUGACGUUGAGGCUCGAAAGCGUGGGGAGCGAACAGGAUUAGAUACCCCAGUAGUC